GACGAACGCUGGCGGCGUGCUUAACACAUGCAAGUCGAACGGAAAGGCCCUGCUUUUGUGGGGUGCUCGAGUGGCGAACGGGUGAGUAACACGUGAGUAACCUGCCCUUGACUUUGGGAUAACUUCAGGAAACUGGGGCUAAUACCGGAUAGGAGCUCCUGCUUCAUGGUGGGGUUUGUAAAGUUUCGGCGGUUGGGGAUGGACUCGCGGCUUAUCAGCUUGUUGGUGGGGUAGUGGCUUACCAAGGCUUUGACGGGUAGCCGGCCUGAGAGGGUGACCGGCCACAUUGGGACUGAGAUACGGCCCAGACUCCUACGGGAGGCAGCAGUGGGGAAUAUUGCAAAAUGGGCGGAAGCAUGAUGCAGCAACGCCGCGUGCGGGAUGACGGCCUUAGGGGUGUAAACCGCUUUCGCCUGUGACGAAGCGUGAGUGACGGUAAUGGGUAAAGAAGCACCGGCUAACUACGUG
RNAcentral lists this ribosomal RNA (468 nucleotides) under uncultured bacterium. RNAcentral's name for it is "partial 16S ribosomal RNA". It matches the Rfam family "Bacterial small subunit ribosomal RNA", at positions 28 to 507 of the family's 1533-position model. The record is from RNAcentral.